This is a non-coding RNA of Paramuricea clavata, 333 nucleotides long. The record is from the annotation of a GenBank genome assembly. Lineage: Eukaryota; Metazoa; Cnidaria; Anthozoa; Malacalcyonacea; Plexauridae.
AUUGAAUUGAUGACCGCGCCUAAAUGUCAAAAUUGCUCUCAACCUUUUUUGCGUGAUGUGACAGCGCAUCAGGUGAACUGCUGUAAACCUAAAAUAUUUAUAUAUUUUUCAGAUUUCUUUGAUGUCAUAUGGCAGGUGAAUUGUUAAAGGUCGCAGUUUCUUAUAAUCCUGGUGGAAUCAUUUCGAUUAUCAUUAAGUGUGAAAAAUCCGUGGUUCGUGACCUCUGCAUCACCGCAGUGUCACUGUAUGGUAUUUACACAACCUCUAAAUUAGUAGCACGAGCUAUAGAUGGCAUUGUGAACAGAGGGCUUGGUGGCCCGAGGAAGGACCAAG